This 76-nucleotide transfer RNA is filed under the name Caulobacteraceae bacterium. RNAcentral's name for it is "tRNA-Lys". It matches the Rfam family "tRNA". From Rfam's summary of the family: Transfer RNA (tRNA) molecules are approximately 80 nucleotides in length. Their secondary structure includes four short double-helical elements and three loops (D, anti-codon, and T loops). Lineage: Bacteria; Pseudomonadati; Pseudomonadota; Alphaproteobacteria; Caulobacterales; Caulobacteraceae. RNAcentral also lists the same sequence under 2 other names. The record is from RNAcentral.
GGGUGUAUAGCUCAGUUGGUAGAGCAGCUGACUCUUAAUCAGCGGGUCGCAGGUUCGAGCCCUGCUACACCCACCA